Molecule: ribosomal RNA, 253 nt
Filed under: uncultured bacterium
Lineage: Bacteria
Description: partial 16S ribosomal RNA
Rfam family: Bacterial small subunit ribosomal RNA
Source: RNAcentral
UACGUAGGGGGCAAGCGUUGUCCGGAUUCAUUGGGCGUAAAGGGCGCGCAGGCGGCCCGGAAAGUCGGAUGUGAAAACUCGAGGCUCAACCUCGAGCGUGCACCCGAUACUGCCGGGCUUGAGGCAGGUAGGGGAGAUCGGAAUUCCUGGUGUAGCGGUGAAAUGCGCAGAUAUCAGGAGGAACACCGGUGGCGAAGGCGGAUCUCUGGGCCUGUCCUGACGCUGAGGCGCGAAAGCUAGGGGAGCGAACAGG